Molecule: ribosomal RNA, 392 nt
Filed under: Bos indicus (zebu cattle)
Lineage: Eukaryota; Metazoa; Chordata; Mammalia; Artiodactyla; Bovidae
Description: partial 12S ribosomal RNA
Rfam family: Bacterial small subunit ribosomal RNA
Source: RNAcentral
AAUAAAACGAAAUUAUUCGCCAGAGUACUACUAGCAACAGCUUAAAACUCAAAGGACUUGGCGGUGCUUUAUAUCCUUCUAGAGGAGCCUGUUCUAUAAUCGAUAAACCCCGAUAAACCCUCACCAAUUCUUGCUAAUACAGUCUAUAUACCGCCAUCUUCAGCAAACCCUAAAAAGGAAAAAAAGUAAGCGUAAUUAUGAUACAUAAAAACGUUAGGUCAAGGUGUAACCUAUGAAAUGGGAAGAAAUGGGCUACAUUCUCUACACUAAGAGAAUCAAGCACGAAAGUUAUUAUGAAACCAAUAACCAAAGGAGGAUUUAGCAGUAAACUAAGAAUAGAGUGCUUAGUUGAAUUAGGCCAUGAAGCACGCACACACCGCCGUUAACCUCAA